RNAcentral lists this ribosomal RNA (520 nucleotides) under uncultured Glomus. RNAcentral's name for it is "SSU rRNA". It matches the Rfam family "Eukaryotic small subunit ribosomal RNA", at positions 569 to 1090 of the family's 1831-position model. Lineage: Eukaryota; Fungi; Glomeromycota; Glomeromycetes; Glomerales; Glomeraceae. The record is from RNAcentral.
AGCAGCCGCGGUAAUUCCAGCUCCAAUAGCGUAUAUUAAAGUUGUUGCAGUUAAAAAGCUCGUAGUUGAAUUUCGGGGUUAGUAGGUUGGUCAUGCCUCUGGUAUGUACUGGUCUCACUGAUUCCUCCUUCCUUAUGAACCGUAAUGCCAUUAAUUUGGUGUUGCGGGGAAUUUGGACUGUUACUUUGAAAAAAUUAGAGUGUUUAAAGCAAGCUAACGCUUGAAUACAUUAGCAUGGAAUAAUGAAAUAGGACGUUCGAUCUUAUUUUGUUGGUUUCUAGGAUUGACGUAAUGAUUAAUAGGGAUAGUUGGGGGCAUUAGUAUUCAAUUGUCAGAGGUGAAAUUCUUGGAUUUAUUGAAGACUAACUACUGCGAAAGCAUUUGCCAAGGAUGUUUUCAUUAAUCAAGAACGAAAGUUAGGGGAUCGAAGACGAUCAGAUACCGUCGUAGUCUUAACCAUAAACUAUGCCGACUAGGGAUCGGAUGAUGUUAAUUUUUAAUGUACUCAUUCGGCGCCUUA